Long non-coding RNA from Patiria miniata (bat star), 366 nucleotides. RefSeq lists it as uncharacterized. Lineage: Eukaryota; Metazoa; Echinodermata; Asteroidea; Valvatida; Asterinidae. The transcript has 3 exons. The record is from RefSeq and is a predicted model, not a curated record.
UGGCCGAAACUCCCAACUAUAAGAGACUCAGAAAAACCUUCAUUAUUUUGCUUGUGAACCAGGGGGAUUUCCGUGAAUCAUUCUACAGAGAAGACCUUCCGUAAUAAUCACAGACUGACUACUGAAGUUGACUGAACUGACCCCUCUUGAAGUGUGACGUCAUGACAAUGCCAGGGGUGAAAGUUGACGAGGAAGUUAAUAUCGUCUUCAACGACAUGAAGUUACUUCACGCAUACAGAUGGGCCAUUUUCAAGAUCACAGAUGAGAAGGUUGUGACUGUGGACACCAAGGCCACGGGGGGUCAAGGCUUCACCGAGUUUUACGACAGCCUGAAGAAAUCGAAUCAACCGCGCUACGCCCUCUACA